RNAcentral lists this ribosomal RNA (253 nucleotides) under uncultured bacterium. Its description in RNAcentral is "partial 16S ribosomal RNA". It matches the Rfam family "Bacterial small subunit ribosomal RNA", at positions 524 to 776 of the family's 1533-position model. The record is from RNAcentral.
UACGGGGGGGGCAAGCGUUGUUCGGAAUUACUGGGCGUAAAGGGCGUGUAGGCGGCCAACUACGUCCGACGUGAAAUCCCCAGGCUUAACCUGGGAACUGCGUCGGAUACUGGAUGGCUUGAAUCCGGGAGAGGGAUGCAGAAUUCCAGGUGUAGCGGUGAAAUGCGUAGAUAUCUGGAGGAAUACCGGUGGCGAAGGCGGCAUCCUGGACCGACAUUGACGCUGAUGAGCGAAAGCUAGGGGAGCAAACGGG